GGAGAGGUGGCAGAGUGGUCGAUCGCGCCGCACUCGAAAUGCGGAGUACUGCAAGGUACCGGGGGUUCGAAUCCCUCCCUCUCCGCCA
This 88-nucleotide transfer RNA is filed under the name Hyphomicrobiales bacterium. RNAcentral describes it as "Rhizobiales bacterium (stromatolite metagenome) tRNA-Ser". It matches the Rfam family "tRNA". From Rfam's summary of the family: Transfer RNA (tRNA) molecules are approximately 80 nucleotides in length. Their secondary structure includes four short double-helical elements and three loops (D, anti-codon, and T loops). Further hydrogen bonds mediate the characteristic L-shaped molecular structure. tRNAs have two regions of fundamental functional importance: the anti-codon, which is responsible for specific mRNA codon recognition, and the 3' end, to which the tRNAs corresponding amino acid is attached (by aminoacyl-tRNA synthetases). tRNAs cope with the degeneracy of the genetic code in two manners: having more than one tRNA (with a specific anti-codon) for a particular amino acid; and 'wobble' base-pairing, i.e. permitting non-standard base-pairing at the 3rd anti-codon position. Lineage: Bacteria; Pseudomonadati; Pseudomonadota; Alphaproteobacteria; Hyphomicrobiales. The record is from RNAcentral. RNAcentral also lists the same sequence under 1 other name.